CAGCCGCCACGGUAAUACGAGGGGGGCAAGCGUUGUUCGGAAUUAUUGGGCGUAAAGGGUGCGUAGGCGGCUUGACAAGUCUUGUGUGAAAUCUUCGGGCUCAACCCGAAGCCUGCACGAGAAACUACCGGGCUUGAGUAUUGGAGAGGUGAGUGGAAUUUCCGGUGUAGCGGUGAAAUGCGUAGAUAUCGGAAGGAACACCUGUGGCGAAAGCGGCUCACUGGACAAUAACUGACGCUGAUGCACGAAAGCUAGGGGAGCAAACAGGAUUAGAUACCCCCGUAGUCCCUGUCUCUUAUAC
RNAcentral lists this ribosomal RNA (301 nucleotides) under uncultured bacterium. RNAcentral describes it as "partial 16S ribosomal RNA". It matches the Rfam family "Bacterial small subunit ribosomal RNA", at positions 509 to 807 of the family's 1533-position model. The record is from RNAcentral.